AGAACGAACGUUGGCGGCGUGGAUUAGGCAUGCAAGUCGCGGGAAUCACUCGCAAGAGUGGGAACCGGCGUAAGGGGCAGUAAUGCGUGGGUAUUUACCCUCCGGUCUGGCAUAGCCCUUCGAAAGAAGGGGUAAUUCCAGAUGACGUCGAGAGACCAAAGGUCUGCCGCCGGGGGAGAAGCCCACGUGAUAUUAGCUAGUUGGUGAGGUAAUGGCUCACCAAGGCGAAGAUGUCUAGCGGGUGUGAGAGCACGACCCGCGCCACUGGCACUGAGACACUGGCCAGACACCGUACGGGUGGCUGCAGUCGAGGAUCUUCGGCAAGUGGGGCAACCUGACCGAGCGACGCCGCGUGUGCGAUGAAGGCCGUUCGGUUAGUAAAGCACUGGUCGGAGGGGAGAAAAGGCGACGAAGUCUGAUCUAUCCCGUGGAGGAAGGACGGCUAAGUUCGCGCC
This 455-nucleotide ribosomal RNA is filed under the name uncultured soil bacterium. Its description in RNAcentral is "bacterial SSU rRNA". It matches the Rfam family "Bacterial small subunit ribosomal RNA", at positions 26 to 509 of the family's 1533-position model. The record is from RNAcentral.